Non-coding RNA from Leptolyngbya sp. NIES-2104, 75 nucleotides. Lineage: Bacteria; Bacillati; Cyanobacteriota; Cyanophyceae; Leptolyngbyales; Leptolyngbyaceae. The record is from Rfam.
GGUGCUGUAGGCAAAUUUGGUAAAGCCACAGAACUUUCAAUUCUGCGUUUGCGGGUUCAACUCCCGUCAGCACUG